This 380-nucleotide ribosomal RNA is filed under the name uncultured eukaryote. RNAcentral's name for it is "SSU rRNA". It matches the Rfam family "Eukaryotic small subunit ribosomal RNA", at positions 587 to 972 of the family's 1831-position model. The record is from RNAcentral.
AGCUCCAAUAGCGUAUAUUAAAGUUGUUGCGGUAAAAAAGCUCGUAGUUGGAUUUCUGAGUAGAACGAUGGGUCUGCACAACGUGCAUUGAUCUCACUCGGUCUGUUCAUCUUUUCGCAAGACGACUCUGCGCUUGAUUGCGUGGAUCGGAUUACGGAACUUUUACUUUGAGGAAAUUAGAGUGUUCACGGCAGGCUAUCGCCAGAAUACAUUAGCAUGGAAUAAUACUAUAGGAUCUUGAUUCUAUUUUGUUGGUUUCUAGGAUUAAGAUAAUGAUUAAUAGGGACAAUUGGGGGCAUUCGUAUCAACACGUCAGAGGUGGAAUUCUUGGAUUGUGUUGCGACGAACUACUGCGAAAGCAUUUGCCAAGGAUGUUUUCA